AUGGGAUCAGAAUGGUAUCUGCUGGUAAUAACGCAACAGAUACAAGGCUUUCUGCAGCACCUUCUGAGCAAUUGGGCUGUCACUGUCCUAAAUGGAGUAGUUGGGUUAAAAGUAUUUGUCCAUGACAUAACUCCCUGGCCCUCAGCUACCAGUGGAAGCAGGUCUCUCUGGUUCGACCUGUUAAUACCACAAACUCUACUUUGCCAGAAAUGUGACUUCUUGAUGAAUAAGUUGGUCCAGACCUGCCAAUUUGAAGUGAACUCAUAUUUGGCAGUCUGCUGGAGCGCCAACGAUCAAGAGGAGACCAGAUGAGUUUUCAGAGCAGUCCUCAAACACCCAGGACACACCUCAUCCUUUGCCUCAUGCUUUCUGCAAUGUUGCUGCUCACAUUCAUCUUCCUAUUAACGCUUGCCAUAAUUACCCCUUCCUGAUCACCAUUCUUCCUCCAUUCACUACCCACUCAGCUCUUUCUCCAAGGUGCCUGUCUUAUGGGCAGUGGCUUUGUUCUCUGUUUGGCAAGUUCCCCUCUGAGUUAUGUCAAGAUGGCUAACAUUGGUUUCCCUCUUUCCUCAUGCCCAACAGCCCCUGCCUCAUGCCCAACAGCCCAGCAUUCAGUCCCUAGGUGAGGAAAACCACAGCACAUCCUACCUCUUCCAAAAUGAAGUUGCAAGCCUCUGCCAGAGCAGUCACACUCAAUGAAGAUACUCGAGGUAUCUGAGUGUGAUGUAAUUAAAACUAGAUGGAAAGACCAGAAAUCCCUUAGUCCCAGUCAGAUAUAGUGAAAGCGCUUACUCAUGACUGUUUGGACUGAUUAAGAAUGUGGAGGUAGGAAGAAGAGAAAGAGAAGGAUCCUCAGAAUUGGACUGCCCCUGAAUACAGGAUGGAAUCAUCCAGACUUUUUUUCCUCCAAUUAAAUUUGCAUUUCAUUCUACCGCAUUGUGAUGGCUUCACUCUAGACAUUUUCAUUUGAAACCCAAGGCUUUUCUUCAUGGGUUCUGAACCACAGGUUCCUGGAUGGUGAG
RNAcentral lists this long non-coding RNA (1022 nucleotides) under Felis catus (domestic cat). Its description in RNAcentral is "lncRNA (ENSFCAG00000045991.2)". Lineage: Eukaryota; Metazoa; Chordata; Mammalia; Carnivora; Felidae. The record is from RNAcentral.